GGGCGGGGGGGCAGGGGGGACUUCAGCAGUGGCCGUCCACUCCCGACAGAGAGGUUUGAGCCAGAACCGGUCCAAACAGAGCCAGCUCUUCUCCCAGUGACACCGUGUUCAGCCACACUGCGGAGCUAGCUCAGCAUGCCACAGUGCACUUGAAGAAGGAGAAGAUCCCGCUUCUGUUCCACGUGCUCCGGAGCGCUCUACAGCCAGCAGAGUUUCUGCCUCCGCUCCAGUUCCACAGCAGUAGCCAGCCAUAGUGUAGACCAUCCAGACGCGCAGUGACAUUCAUUCAACGUGAAAUAAAUAGGCUCACAAUUUCACGACUACAGUUGUCGGCACUCCUUCUGCCGUCCUCCAGACGGGGCUCGUGGCAGUGACACAUGCAGAAAUCACCGUUCCAUUCCAUCGCGUUCGGCGACGUCGUGGUCGUCAUCCAGACUUCCUGUGUGUCUGUGCCCGGUCGGAGCAGAAUGAAGCCGACGCAGCGAUUGAGAUCACCCGACGGGCAUGUCUGAGCUGUACCAUUUCACCUGUCAUUUGCAUUGCUCAUUUUUAGAAGUCAAACGCCGUUAAUACGACAACAUGUCUCAACAAAGAAGGACACGAAUAAAAUGUUUUUCAUUGUUUAGCUA
Long non-coding RNA from Conger conger (European conger), 629 nucleotides. RefSeq lists it as uncharacterized. The record is from RefSeq and is a predicted model, not a curated record. The transcript has 2 exons. NCBI's taxonomy places the organism in Eukaryota, Metazoa, Chordata, Actinopteri, Anguilliformes, Congridae.